Molecule: ribosomal RNA, 253 nt
Filed under: uncultured bacterium
Lineage: Bacteria
Description: partial 16S ribosomal RNA
Rfam family: Bacterial small subunit ribosomal RNA
Source: RNAcentral
GACAGAGGGUGCAAACGUUGUUCGGAAUUACUGGGCGUAAAGCGCGUGUAGGCUGCUCUGCAAGUCGGAUGUGAAAGCCCUGGGCUCAACCUAGGAAGUGCAUUCGAAACUGCAGAGCUGGAGUCCUGGAGAGGAAGGCGGAAUUCUCGGUGUAGAGGUGAAAUUCGUAGAUAUCGAGAGGAACACCUGCGGCGAAGGCGGGUAGCUGGGCCGACACUGACGCUGAGGCGCGAAAGCCAGGGGAGCGAACGGG